CUACGGGAUGCUGCAGUGAGGAAUAUUGCACAAUGGGGGGAACCCUGAUGCAGCAACGCCGCGUGGAGGAUGACGCAUUUCGGUGUGUAAACUCCUUUUAUAUGUCAAGAAAAUGACGGUAGCAUAUGAAUAAGCACCGGCUAACUCCGUGCCAGCAGCCGCGGUAAUACGGAGGGUGCAAGCGUUACUCGGAAUCACUGGGCGUAAAGGACGCGUAGGCGGGCUUGUAAGUCAGGUGUGAAAUCCUACAGCUUAACUGUAGAACUGCACUUGAAACUACGAGCCUAGAGUAUGGGAGGGGGAGAUGGAAUUAGUGGUGUAGGGGUAAAAUCCGUAGAUAUCACUAGGAAUACCUAAAGCGAAGGCGAUCUCCUGGAACAUUACUGACGCUAAGGCGUGAAAGCGUGGGGAGCAAACAGGAUUAGAUACCCGGGUAGUC
RNAcentral lists this ribosomal RNA (439 nucleotides) under uncultured bacterium. Its description in RNAcentral is "partial 16S ribosomal RNA". It matches the Rfam family "Bacterial small subunit ribosomal RNA", at positions 339 to 795 of the family's 1533-position model. The record is from RNAcentral.